ACAAGGAUUCCCCUAGUAACUGCGAGUGAAGCGGGAAAAGCUCAAAUUUAAAAUCUGGUGGUCUUUGGCCAUCCGAGUUGUAAUCUAGAGAAGUGUUACCCGCGUCGGACCGUGUACAAGUCUCCUGGAAUGGAGCGUCAUAGAGGGUGAGAAUCCCGUCUUUGACACGGACUACCGAGGCUUUGUGGUGCGCUCUCAACGAGUCGAGUUGUUUGGGAAUGCAGCUCAAAAUGGGUGGUAAAUUCCAUCUAAAGCUAAAUAUUGGCGAGAGACCGAUAGCGAACAAGUACCGUGAGGGAAAGAUGAAAAGAACUUUGGAAAGAGAGUUAAACAGUACGUGAAAUUGCUAAAAGGGAAACGCUUGAAGUCAGUCGCGUUGGCCGGAAAUCAGCCUUGCUUUUGCUGGGUGUACUUUCUGGUUGACGGGCCAGCAUCAGUUUUGACCGGUGGAAAAAGUUCGAGGGAAUGUGGCAUCUUCGGAUGUGUUAUAGCCCUUGGUCGUAUACAUCGGUUGGGACUGAGGAACUCAGCACGCCGAAAGGCCGGGUCUUUGACCACGUUCGUGCUUAGGAUGCUGGCAUAAUGGCUUUAAUCGACCCGUCUG
Molecule: ribosomal RNA, 604 nt
Filed under: Psathyrella sp.
Lineage: Eukaryota; Fungi; Basidiomycota; Agaricomycetes; Agaricales; Psathyrellaceae
Description: partial large subunit ribosomal RNA
Rfam family: Eukaryotic large subunit ribosomal RNA
Source: RNAcentral